GGCCUAACACAUGCAAGUCGAGCGGUAGCACAGGGAGCUUGCUCCUGGGUGACGAGCGGCGGACGGGUGAGUAAUGUCUGGGAAACUGCCUGAUGGAGGGGGAUAACUACUGGAAACGGUAGCUAAUACCGCAUAACGUCUUCGGACCAAAGAGGGGGACCUUCGGGCCUCUUGCCAUCAGAUGUGCCCAGAUGGGAUUAGCUAGUAGGUGAGGUAAUGGCUCACCUAGGCGACGAUCCCUAGCUGGUCUGAGAGGAUGACCAGCCACACUGGAACUGAGACACGGUCCAGACUCCUACGGGAGGCAGCAGUGGGGAAUAUUGGACAAUGGGCGAAAGCCUGAUCCAGCCAUGCCGCGUGUGUGAAGAAGGUCUUCGGAUUGUAAAGCACUUUAAGUUGGGAGGAAGGGCAGUUACCUAAUACGUGAUUGUUUUGACGUUACCGACAGAA
RNAcentral lists this ribosomal RNA (450 nucleotides) under uncultured bacterium. Its description in RNAcentral is "bacterial SSU rRNA". It matches the Rfam family "Bacterial small subunit ribosomal RNA", at positions 45 to 486 of the family's 1533-position model. The record is from RNAcentral.